GGCUGGUCUGAGUGCAGUGGUGUUUACAACUAAUUGAUCACAACCAGUUACAGAUUCCUUUGUUCCUUCUCCACUCCCACUGCUUCACUUGACUAGCCUUAA
This 102-nucleotide Y RNA is filed under the name Prolemur simus (greater bamboo lemur). Its description in RNAcentral is "Y RNA (ENSPSMG00000017161.1)". It matches the Rfam family "Y RNA". From Rfam's summary of the family: Y RNAs are components of the Ro ribonucleoprotein particle (Ro RNP), in association with Ro60 and La proteins. The record is from Rfam by way of RNAcentral. Lineage: Eukaryota; Metazoa; Chordata; Mammalia; Primates; Lemuridae.